CUAGAGGCGAAAUAAAAACUAUCACUUGAUGCCUCAUAGAGUUUUGACACGUGACGCUGGCACAGAGUGGGACACUUCAAAAACGGAUUUAAAACAUAGACAACAAAACGGUUUCAUGGGAGAUUGUGACGGCUGAAUCCGGGGAUUGAAGAAACGCACACACCUCAGUUGCUGCCAGUAGGUGAAGUAGGUGAGUAAAUGGUGACCGGGGAAUGUAAAGAAGGAGAUGGAUAAUGGAUUGGAGAUUCUCAGGAGUAGCAGAGGAAAUUAAUUAGGAACACUGGGAUCAGGAAACGCUGGAGGUAAGUAACACAUGUAAGGUCCUUUCAGGUAGAGAGUCUGUAGUCUGUAAUGAGACCAUACAAUAGCUCUGUCCCAAAUUCAGGGGCUGCGUUCUCCGGAGAUCGCAUUUAAAGGCUGCAUAAGUCAUUGAGUCGGUCUCAUUUAAGAAAUUAACCAUGAUAAAAUUGACUUUCAUUCAUCCUGAGGUGUAAAAUACUGUAAUUUCUUUAUUACUUUGAAAUCUAACAAAUGCCUUCAAAUGUGAACUUCGGAGAACGCAGCCCCUGAAUUGGGACACGGCUAAUGAAUGCAGCUGAGGUGUGUGCUCAAAUACAGUAGCUGUGUCUCAUUUCAAAGGCUGCAUCCUCCGGAUGUCGCAUUUGAAGAUUGCAUAUGUCAUUGAGGCUGUAUCAUUUCAGAAAAGUAAGUAGGACUCAUGAGGUGUAUCCUUCGCUGCUGCAGAUAGCCCACAAUUCUUUGCGUCACUGUUAACCACCGUCAUUUAUUUGAAAAAUUAAAAAAAAAAAAAAAUAGCGGCUGCGGCAGAUGUACAUGUACAGUACAAGUGAAGAUGUGGUGUUUAAAUGUAAGUAGUUUCAAGCUUGUUUUUGUUUUAAACUUGUUCUUCUUAAUAUCCUCCUCCUUUGUCUCUGUAACAGAUAUAUGUUGUACAUACACCACAGCUCCUCAAACAUUACCCAAAAUAAAACAAGUGAAUACAUUUUCUUUUCAAAUUACUUUCCAAAUGUAUAAAUAAUUUUCAUUCAACUGUUGUGAGAGCGCAAUGACGCGGCCGUGAACGUGUUGGCAUAGCAACGUGAUACUUCCUGUUUCCUUUCCUGCCUGUUUGUCCUACAAAGGACGUCUCGUUUAAUUCUGGUUAAGGACACUCCGUAUACCACAUCCUUCACAGGAUGUGUCCUCGGGAGGAUUCAGCCUUCGACAUUAAAUGAAAUGAGACACAGCUAGUGACCGAUGGUGGUGCUGAUAGGGAACAGGUGUUAGUAAUUAGUACUCUGGGGAUGCUUUGCUGAAGUGAAGGUUGGCUUAAAGUCCCCCUGUGGUGAAAAUCAAGUUUUUAAUGUUGUUCAUGUGUCUAUCUGGUGCUUUUAACAUGCUUAAAGACAAACCAUGGGCAAAUUCCUAAGUCAACACCAUUGCUGUGUAUUUUCUCUUUAAAACUGCAGUAAACCAAAGACAGUCUCAAACCCGCGGUUUGAAAUUGCUGGUGUUUCUGACGUCACAAACUACCUUGUAACCAAUCACGUCAAUGUGCUGGCGGGCUUUAGCAUAUCAUUAACUGACCUCGUAAGGGAGUCUCAAAAGAAGGUUAUUCUGGUAUAUUUUUCUGUUGAUAUGAAAAAUCAGUUAAAUUUAGCAAUAUGGCGGGUGUAUGAUGUAUCUUACGAUGUUAUGAUGAACUAUAUGCCUUUCUCCACUGACAUUCUGAGCUGUUCAAAGCAUUUCUAAGGAUACUGAUUAGAAGGCAGCUGUCUCACUCGUGAAUGUGAACAUGGUUUGCGUAACAUUAGGAACACAUUAUUAGCUGUUUGAUAACGUAGUCAAGCAAAACGCUAAUCAUAUUAAUUACCAUUAUGUGUCCAAUGUUGCAAAAAGCGAUACCAUUGUGCAGCGUUUACCUCAGUAAGUUGACAGAGUGGAUUUCGUCUAAGUUCGUGCGAGUGAGUGGAGGCGGGGCUAAUUACCAUAUUCAUAGAUCCGUGUAUAUUAAAUGAGGCAAGGGUGUAGAGUUACAUUCAAGCUAUUUUAAGGCAUUAAGAUUUUUUUUUUUUUUCACAGGAAAAAAAAAACUUUUAAAUAUGUAAUUUUGGUGACCAAAGAUGAGUUUUAAGGGAUAAAAUUAUUGACUACAGGGGGACAUUUUCUUUUUAAAUUGGAACUACAGGAAACUCUUAAAUAUUUGAGUAUUUUGCCUUUCCUUCAAAUGAAUAUUUAAGUCGUUCAAAGCAAAUCCUUCUAAAAUGAAACACAUUCACAUUCAAGCAUGCACUGCAUUUAAUUGUGUUCCUUUGUCAUAUUUCAUCAGGUCUUUCAGUUAAAAUGCUACAGUAGGUAAGAUGAGAGAUUACAUCCAAGUAAUCAGAUUCAAUCAUCCGUUUACAGUUUAAAACAUUUAUUUUUGUAUAUUAUGCAUUGUACCAUAUAUAUAUUUUGUUUUAUCUGUAUGCAGUAUUCUGUGUACUAUACAUUAGUCUGCAAUUAUAAAGACAACUAACUGAAAAUAGCAAAACCAUUCUCAUUUUUUUCCACUGACAUUGAUGUUUUACAUCACUUUGGUACUAUUUUCACAAGCAAGUGGUAAUAUUUUAAAACUUAAUCACACCACAACAGAUAAUCAGAUAUGCAAUUUGAUUUGAGCAUAUUUAUGUCAAUUAUGUUAGUACAAAAUCACAAAGUAUCCUUUACACUGCAGAAAAUAAGUGGUUCAUCUAUAUUACUUUUCAUUCACACUAACUGUCUUUAAUGUCUACAGUAAUUCUAUUAAACAUUUUAUUUGCAUCUCUUCUCUUCUCGUUCAGUUUAAUAAUUUGUCCAUCAUUUAAUCCAACUGAUCUUAAAGGUUAAUCGAUCAAUCAAUCAUUUGGUACAUCGAUAGUUUUUUUAUAGAUACAGCUUCAAUAGAUGUAGGUAUGUGUAACCAACAGAUUACAGUUAUCAAUUUUGCUUUUUAAAGUAAGCCAUGUGAGGAACACUGCAGCUGAAUUUUUAUUGUACUUAAGUACAAAAUUAAAAAAAUUUAGUAAUAUUUUUUCUUUGAUUCAAGGAUAUUGUGACUUGAUUGUUUUUCAUCAAUACUGUAAUAUUCUCUAAUAUUCUCUCUGCUAGUUCUUUUACAAUGAUGUAUUUAUGUGUAGUACCAUUAUGAAAUAUCUAUCACAUAUAAUGCACAACAAUAUUAAAUGAUUGUACAAACAACUAUCAGUAUCUUGUGUGUGGGUGAUAUGAAUUAGAGGUUUUCUUGAUUGCGAGCACACUGUAACUGAUUCAGUUGGCACAAUUUCCCAAACCAUUCAUUCAGUUCUCAAAACAAAGACACAUUUCUCCAGACGUUUAACACAUUUUUUACAUGCCCUGCAUUUUUGCAGAACUGAGAGACAACUUGCUAAGGGAGGUAGAGAAAGUCCUUUGUCAGAAUUUCAAGAAACUGCUAUAGUACUGUAUUCUGUCAUGAAAUUUGGCAGAAGGUGCAGAGGAUGCUGAAUUUAUUUAUUCAUGUAUUUUUUACUGUGCUGUAAUUCACAGUAUAUGGUGUUGUGUUGCAUACCGAGUUUAUAUUCAAUUCUUUUGCAUUUUAAAUUUUCUUCUCCAGUGCUUGUCAUAUACUGUAAGAUCACUUUACAGUAGUGUAAUGAAAUUUAUUUUUUCCCAAAGCUCAUUGCUGUAUUUUACUGUAUCUGCACUCUUUCAUUUAUGUUGUAUAGUGUAAUAGACACUGAGGUGUAAAAUAAUGACUUAUUGUGUAUUUGUUAGGUUUUGUGUGUCAUUUGAGGCCAAAGUUUGAUUCUAUUAUGUUUUUUGAUUCUAAUAUAUUUUUGUCUAAAAUAUUUGAUUUUGACGUGACAGUUUGAGGUUUAUAUAAGUUGGUGUAUAGGUCUGAGUUUGUGUUUAUAGUCGUGAGAAAAUGGUGAAUUGUUUCAUGAACUGUUAGCAAUUGCGAAAAACAGUAAUGUUCUUAUGGUAUUUUAUGAUGAUAAACAAAUGAUUCUGCAAGUGUAAGGCCUCUUUAAAGAAAUGAAUGCGCAAUGCAAUGUUGUGAACAUUAGACAGCCUGUUACAGCUGAAGACUGUUUUGAGUUUUAUGUCUAGAGCUUUGAAAUCUCACAUCAAGAUUCUGAAAUUAGUGCCAAAGUGAUGGUAAAAACUGAAAUCAGACAUGUAUCAGAUGGAGAGAGACAGAUGGCAGAUAACUGUUAUAUAAAAUACAGGCAUUGUACAAUACAGCCAUGUAAUAAUGUAAACAAUGGCCUUACCAUGGUAGAGACUGCCAAAUUACUGUAGCUCUAAAAAGAUUCACUAUAGUAUACAUUCAUAUCAAAUAUCAAAUGUUCUUAUUACGUGUUACAAUGAUCUUAGUAAAGAAAAUAUGUACAACUGUAAUGAAAGCAUGAGAUCAGGAUUUGAAAGUAUGACUAGCGGUGUUGCAGGUAAGAGGCCUGUUAUAUUUUAUAAUAGAAAGUACUCUAUUAAGACAUCAAGGAUACUUGAGGCAAAACAUGCAGUAUGAAACAUACACAUAAAUCAAUUCGUAAAAAAAAAAGAAAGAAAGAAAGAAAGAAAAUUUAAACCUACAAAAAAAAGGAAACUAUCAUUACAAUAUAUCGAUAUUGAUUGAAUGGAACUUGAACCAUAUAAAUAAUCAAGAACAUUCAAGUAUAAAUUUAGAGGUCUACUUAACUGUCAAAUCUUAAAAAAUCUUUGCUCGUAUAUUUGGAGGACUAGAACUUAUCAACUUGAAUAGCCAGAUAACUUUUGAGGGUACAAAUAAUUC
This is a long non-coding RNA of Ctenopharyngodon idella (grass carp), 4792 nucleotides long. RefSeq lists it as uncharacterized. NCBI's taxonomy places the organism in Eukaryota, Metazoa, Chordata, Actinopteri, Cypriniformes, Xenocyprididae. The record is from RefSeq and is a predicted model, not a curated record. The transcript is spliced from 2 exons.